This 497-nucleotide ribosomal RNA is filed under the name uncultured bacterium. Its description in RNAcentral is "partial 16S ribosomal RNA". It matches the Rfam family "Bacterial small subunit ribosomal RNA", at positions 28 to 507 of the family's 1533-position model. The record is from RNAcentral.
GAUGAACGCUGGCGGCGUGCCUAAUACAUGCAAGUCGAGCGAACGGACGAGAAGCUUGCUUCUCUGAUGUUAGCGGCGGACGGGUGAGUAACACGUGGAUAACCUACCUAUAAGACUGGGAUAACUUCGGGAAACCGGAGCUAAUACCGGAUGAUAUUUUGAACCGCAUGGUUCAAAAGUGAAAGACGGUCUUGCUGUCACUUAUGGAUGGAUCCGCGCUGCAUUAGCUAGUUGGUAAGGUAACGGCUUACCAAGGCAACGAUGCAUAGCCGACCUGAGAGGGUGAUCGGCCACACUGGAACUGAGACACGGUCCAGACUCCUGCGGGAGGCAGCAGUAGGGAAUCUUCCGCAAUGGGCGAAAGCCUGACGGAGCAACGCCGCGUGAGUGAUGAAGGUCUUCGGAUCGUAAAACUCUGUUAUUAGGGAAGAACAUAUGUGUAAGUAACUGUGCACAUCUUGACGGUACCUAAUCAGAAAGCCACGGCUAACUACGUG